RNAcentral lists this small RNA (2185 nucleotides) under Pan troglodytes (chimpanzee). RNAcentral's name for it is "processed transcript". Lineage: Eukaryota; Metazoa; Chordata; Mammalia; Primates; Hominidae. The record is from RNAcentral.
GGUUCCGCUUCGCUGGCGCCCGCCGGGCUCUUCCCCCGCCGAGGCCUGUGGUUUGUGGAGUCGAACUUCCCUGCCACCAGUGCCCGGUUAGCAGGGGCGCCAGCCUGGGCGCUUGCGCGGACGGCGGGCGUCGUCACCAUGGCAGCAUCCGCUGGAGGCCCAGAAACAUAACAACAAAGCCUGGAUGACAGCACGUCUGUUUACAGCAUGAUUUACAGAAUAUUUUAAGCCCACUGUGGGGACCUGCUGCUCAGGAAAAAAAAGAUUUCUUUCAAGAUAUUACUGUUCAUUGACAAGGCACCUGGUCACCCAAGAACUCUGAUGGAGAUGUGCAAAGAGAUUGAUGCUGUUUUCCUGCAUGCUUGCAUCUAUUCUGCAGCCCGUGGAUCAAAGGCAAUCCCUUUUCCGGGCACAUACCCAAAGGAAAUGAAAUCACCACUUUGUAAAGAUAUCUGCACUCCCAUGUUCAUUGCAGCAUUAUUUUCAGUAGCCAAGGAUCUUGGAGUGAAAAUAUACUGGAAUAUUUUCUGAGAAAUAGCCAGAUUACAGCAGAAGACGGUGCUGAGAUCACCUGGUAUCAUGCAGCUAACCACAAGGCACAAACAAAUGAGGCACUGAAAAAGACGAGAUUUCACCGUGUUGGCCAGACUGGUCUCGAACUCCUGACCUCAUGAUCCGCCUGCCUUGGCCUCCCAAAGUGCUGGGAUUACAGGUGUGAGCCACCAUGCCCGGCCAAGAACUUUACUUUUAUUAAGCCUGAUGCCUUUAACAGAAAACUCAGAUGAGUGGAUUGGUCACGUAAGAUGGCAGUGACAAAAACUUCAGUUUAAAAUGCCUUAUGGGUCUGUAUUGGCAUUCCUUCCCGCUGAUGAAAUUCUAGGAGCUUUUAGUAAAUUAAAGCUGCAUUUGCAUGAAGAAGCCAGAGAAAUUACUGACUGGUUUGAAGAUAAUGACAUGCAUGGUCGGAUAAGAAGACAUGCCAUGGAGUUGCUGUUUGACCAUCAGUAUUGUUUCCACCAAAUUUGUGAUCUGCAUAUAAGUGCAUGUGAAAUGGAUUUCCACGUACCCAAAACAGCAUAGAAACAUGGCACAGAAGAUCGGAAAAUUUAAUAGGGAAUACUCAUGCAGGUACUGCUCACAUGAUAGAGGCUGAUGUCCUUCUUCCAAGUGAUGGAUCAGAACACAGCCAGCCAAUUAUGGCCCAUCCCCCUGAAACAAACAGUGAUAAUACUCUACAGGAGUGGCUGACUGAAGUUAUGAAAAGCAAUAAAGGCAUCAAGCUGGAUUUCAAAAGAGUAGGAGGCCCAAAAGGAGUGGAGACAAGAGAGGUAGAAGCAUAGACAGAAGUACUGCCGUCUCUUAGGAAGAGAGAGGGAAAUGUGAGGAGGGGUUGGUGAGUGUUCUCCCCUCCAAUAUCCAUCUCCAAAAUUCAUAGCCUCCCAUUAUGAUAUUCACUACAAGUCUGGCAGCUGUAGAACCAUCCAUGAUGCUCUUGGAAAAUGUGAAGAGGCAUCUGAAGCGUCCUGUAUGGAUUAAUGCCGAUAUUCUUCCUGGUCCAAAUGGAAAUAGCAAAGUAAUAGAUGCAAAACCAUUUUUAGACACCGUGACAUCCUUCUUUCCAGACGUGACGUUUUCCCUGGGUUGGACAACAGGAUGGCAUCCUGAGAAAGUCAAUGAAGGGUACAGUUGGACAAUGGUGAAAGAGAUGGAAUAUAUAUGUAAUGAGCUAAGUCAGCCUGUAACGUUCCCUGUCAGAGCAGCAUUACUCAGGCAGUCUUGUUCUCAGUUACUUUGGCUGUUAAAGAAAUCAAACAGGUACAGCCUGACUAUUUGGACUGGAAAAAAUGAUAACUAUUCCGUUGAAGAUUUACUUUACAUUAGAGACCAUUUUGACAAAAAACAAGUUUUCUAUGACAUCUUGGAACCACAAAACCAUGAAUUUAAACAAGCCAUUGGAAUCAAAUUUAAUCUCUAAGAAGAAGAUUCUCAAUUAUUUCCUGUGUUUUGGUUUCAUAAUCCUUCUCUCCAUUGGUCUGAAUUAAUUACCAUAUAAAUUAUGGUUAUUGAUUGACGUUCCAAGUCAUCUAAUCAAGAAACGCUUAUUGUGUGCUUACUCUGUGGGCAUAUGUCCUUAUAAUAGUGCACUUACAUAAGAGAUUUGGAAACAAGAGAUUUAUUUACACAC